UUUACUGUAUAAUGCCAGGCAGGUGCUU
This 28-nucleotide non-coding RNA is filed under the name Cricetulus griseus (Chinese hamster). Lineage: Eukaryota; Metazoa; Chordata; Mammalia; Rodentia; Cricetidae. The record is from RNAcentral.